RNAcentral lists this transfer RNA (79 nucleotides) under Candidatus Melainabacteria bacterium. RNAcentral describes it as "tRNA-Leu". It matches the Rfam family "tRNA". From Rfam's summary of the family: Transfer RNA (tRNA) molecules are approximately 80 nucleotides in length. Their secondary structure includes four short double-helical elements and three loops (D, anti-codon, and T loops). The record is from RNAcentral. Lineage: Bacteria; Bacillati; Candidatus Melainabacteria.
GUCCGAGUGGCGGAAUGGCAGACGCGUACGUUUGAGGGGCGUAUGGGCAACCGUAGGAGUUCAAGUCUCCUCUCGGACA